This 253-nucleotide ribosomal RNA is filed under the name uncultured bacterium. RNAcentral's name for it is "partial 16S ribosomal RNA". It matches the Rfam family "Bacterial small subunit ribosomal RNA", at positions 524 to 776 of the family's 1533-position model. The record is from RNAcentral.
UACAGAGGUCCCGAGCGUUGUUCGGAUUCACUGGGCGUAAAGGGUGCGUAGGUGGCCUGAAAAGUUUGAUGUGAAAGCUCAAGGCUUAACCCUGAAAUGGCAUUGAAUACUGUCGGGCUGGAGGUUUGGAGGGGGGACUGGAAUUCCUGGUGUAGCGGUGAAAUGCGCAGAUAUCAGGAGGAACACCGAUGGCGAAGGCAGUGUUCUGGGCCAGUACUGACGCUGAGGAGCGAAAGCGUGGGGAGCAAACAGG